RNAcentral lists this ribosomal RNA (486 nucleotides) under uncultured Lachnospiraceae bacterium. RNAcentral describes it as "bacterial SSU rRNA". It matches the Rfam family "Bacterial small subunit ribosomal RNA", at positions 897 to 1382 of the family's 1533-position model. Lineage: Bacteria; Bacillati; Bacillota; Clostridia; Lachnospirales; Lachnospiraceae. The record is from RNAcentral.
AAACUCAAAGGAAUUGACGGGGACCCGCACAAGCAGCGGAGCAUGUGGUUUAAUUCGAAGCAACGCGAAGAACCUUACCAAGGCUUGACAUCCUCUUGAAAGACGUAGAGAUACGGUUCCCUCUUCGGAGCAAGGGAGACAGGUGGUGCAUGGUUGUCGUCAGCUCGUGUCGUGAGAUGUUGGGUUAAGUCCCGCAACGAGCGCAACCCCUAUUAUUAGUUGCCAGCAUUCAGUUGGGCACUCUAAGGAGACUGCCGGUGUCAAACCGGAGGAAGGUGGGGAUGACGUCAAGUCCUCAUGGCCCUUAUGUCCAGGGCUACACACGUGCUACAAUGGCCGGUACAAAGGGGCGCAAGACCGCGAGGUGGAGCAAAUACCCAAAAAACCGGUCUCAGUUCGGAUUGGAGUCUGCAACUCGACUCCAUGAAGUUGGAAUCGCUAGUAAUCGCGUAUCAGCAUGACGCGGUGAAUACGUCCCCGGGCCUU